GCGAAAGCCUGACCCAGCAACGCCGCGUGAAGGAAGAAGGUCUUCGGAUGUAAACUUCUUUUAUGAGGGACGAAGGACGCGACGGUACCUCAUGAAUAAGCCACGGCUAACUACGUGCCAGCAGCCGCGGUAAUACGUAGGUGGCAAGCGUUAUCCGGAUUUACUGGGUGUAAAGGGCGCGUAGGCGGGGAUGCAAGUCAGAUGUGAAAUCUAUGGGCUUAACCCAUAAACUGCAUUUGAAACUGUAUCUCUUGAGUGCUGGAGAGGUAGACGGAAUUCCUUGUGUAGCGGUGAAAUGCGUAGAUAUAAGGAAGAACACCAGUGGCGAAGGCGGUCUACUGGACAGUAACUGACGCUGAGGCGCGAGAGCGUGGGGAGCAAACAGGAUUAGAUACCCUGGUAGUCCACGCUGUAAACGAUGAAUACUAGGUGUGGGGGGACUGACCCCUUCCGUGCCGCAGUUAACACAAUAAGUAUUCCACCUGGGGAGUACGACCGCAAGGUUGAAACUCAAAGGAAUUGACGGGGGCCCGCACAAGCAGUGGAUUAUGUGGUUUAAUUCGACGCAACGCGAAGAACCUUACCAGGAUUUGACAUCCAACUAACGAAGCAGAGAUGCAUUAGGUGCCCUUCGGGGAAAGUUGAGACAGGUGGUGCAUGGUUGUCGUCAGCUCGUGUCGUGAGAUGUUGGGUUAAGUCCCGCAACGAGCGCAACCCCUAUUGUUAGUUGCUACGAAAGAGCACUCUAGCGAGACUGCCGUUGACAAAACGGAGGAAGGCGGGGACGAUGUCAAAUCAUCAUGCCCCUUAUGUCCUGGGCUACACACGUAAUACAAUGGUGGCCAACAGAGGGAAGCGAAGCCGCGAGGCGGAGCGAAUCCCCAAAAGCCAUCUCAGUUCGGAUUGCAGGCUGCAACUCGCCUGCAUGAAGCUGGAAUGCUAGUAAU
RNAcentral lists this ribosomal RNA (947 nucleotides) under uncultured bacterium. RNAcentral describes it as "bacterial SSU rRNA". It matches the Rfam family "Bacterial small subunit ribosomal RNA", at positions 375 to 1342 of the family's 1533-position model. The record is from RNAcentral.